GGCCUUAUGGUCUAGUAGUAUGAUUCUCGCUUUGGGUACCCUUUUGGGUUGUAUGCGAGAGGUCCUGGGUUCAAUUCCCAGUGAGGCCC
This is a non-coding RNA of Marasmius oreades (fairy-ring Marasmius), 89 nucleotides long. The record is from the annotation of a RefSeq genome assembly. NCBI's taxonomy places the organism in Eukaryota, Fungi, Basidiomycota, Agaricomycetes, Agaricales, Marasmiaceae.